UCAAGUAAUUAAGUGCAUGUGGUGGAUGCCUUGGCAGUCAGAGGCGAUGAAAGACGUGAUAGCCUGCGAAAAGCUCCGGGGAGGCGGCAAAUAUCCUUUGAUCCGGAGAUGUCUGAAUGGGGGAACCCACCUACUUUAAGGUAGGUAUUGCAACAUGAAUACAUAGUGUUGCAAGGCGAACGAGGGGAAGUGAAACAUCUCAGUACCCUUAGGAAAAGAAAUCAAUUGAGAUUCCCUCAGUAGCGGCGAGCGAACGGGGAUCAGCCCAUUAAGUUAUGUGUGUUUUAGUGGAACGCUCUGGGAAGUGCGAACGUAGAGGGUGAUAUUCCCGUACACGAAAGGGCACACAUAAUGAUGACGAGUAGGGCGAGGCACGUGAAACCUUGUCUGAAUAUGGGGGGACCAUCCUCCAAGGCUAAAUACUCCUGACUGACCGAUAGUGAACCAGUACCGUGAGGGAAAGGCGAAAAGAACCCCUGUGAGGGGAGUGAAAUAGAUCCUGAAACCGCAUGCAUACAAGCAGUGGGAGCACCUUCGUGGUGUGACUGCGUACCUUUUGUAUAAUGGGUCAGCGACUUAUAUUCAGUAGCAAGGUUACCGUAUAGGGGAGCCGUAGAGAAAUCGAGUCUUAAUAGGGCGUUUAGUUGCUGGGUAUAGACCCGAAACCAGGCGAUCUAUCCAUGAGCAGGUUGAAGGUUGGGUAACACUAACUGGAGGACCGAACCCACUGUCGUUGAAAAGCCAGGGGAUGACUUGUGGAUAGGGGUGAAAGGCUAAUCAAGCCUGGUGAUAGCUGGUUCUCCCCGAAAGCUAUUUAGGUAGCGCCUCGGACGAAUACCAUAGGGGGUAGAGCACUGUUUCGGCUAGGGGGUCAUCCCGACUUACCAAACCGAUGCAAACUCCGAAUACCUAUGAGUACUAUCCGGGAGACAGACUGCGGGUGCUAACGUCCGUAGUCAAGAGGAAAACAAUCCAGACCGCCAGCUAAGGCCCCAAAAUCAUAGUUAAGUGGGAAACGAUGUGGGAAGGCAUAGACAGCUAGGAGGUUGGCUUAGAAGCAGCCACCCUUUAAAGAAAGCGUAAUAGCUCACUAGUCGAGUCGGCCUGCGCGGAAGAUGUAACGGGGCUAAAACUAUGUGCCGAAGCUGCGGAUGUAUACUUUGUAUACGUGGUAGGGGAGCGUUCUGUAAGCCGAUGAAGGUGUGUUGAGAAGCAUGCUGGAGGUAUCAGAAGUGCGAAUGCUGACGUGAGUAACGACAAAACGGGUGAAAAACCCGUUCGCCGAAAGACCAAGGGUUCCAGUCCAACGUUAAUCGGGGCUGGGUGAGUCGACCCCUAAGGCGAGGCCGAAAGGCGUAGUCGAUGGGAAAAUGGUUAAUAUUCCAUUACUUCUGUGUAAUGCGAUGAGAGGACGGAGAAGGCUAAAUCAGCCUGGCGUUGGUUGUCCAGGUGAAAGGAUGUAGGCAUGUAUCUUAGGCAAAUCCGGGGUACUCUAUGCUGAGAUCUGAUAGCAAGCUGUACUUGUACAGCGAAGUGGUUGAUGCCAUGCUUCCAGGAAAAGUCUCUAAGCUUCAGUUACACAGGAAUCGUACCCGAAACCGACACAGGUGGUCAGGUCGAGUAGACCAAGGCGCUUGAGAGAACUCUGCUGAAGGAACUAGGCAAAAUGGUACCGUAACUUCGGGAGAAGGUACGCUGUUGUUGGUGAUGGAACUCGCUUCCUGAGCUGACGACAGCCGCAGAAACCAGGCCGCUGCAACUGUUUAUUAAAAACAUAGCACUCUGCAAACACGAAAGUGGACGUAUAGGGUGUGAUGCCUGCCCGGUGCUGGAAGGUUAAUUGAUGGGGUUAGCGUAAGCGAAGCUCUUGAUCGAAGCCCCAGUAAACGGCGGCCGUAACUAUAACGGUCCUAAGGUAGCGAAAUUCCUUGUCGGGUAAGUUCCGACCUGCACGAAUGGCAUAAUGAUGGCGGCGCUGUCUCCAGCAGAGGCUCAGUGAAAUCGAAAUCGCUGUGAAGAUGCAGUGUACCCGCGGCUAGACGGAAAGACCCCGUGAACCUUUACUGCAGCUUGACACUGAACUUUGACCUUACUUGUGUAGGAUAGGUGGGAGGCUUUGAAGCUGGAACGCUAGUUCCAGUGGAGCCGUCCUUGAAAUAC
RNAcentral lists this ribosomal RNA (2160 nucleotides) under Acinetobacter baumannii 1291820. Its description in RNAcentral is "bacterial LSU rRNA". It matches the Rfam family "Bacterial large subunit ribosomal RNA", at positions 3 to 2200 of the family's 2925-position model. The record is from RNAcentral. Lineage: Bacteria; Pseudomonadati; Pseudomonadota; Gammaproteobacteria; Moraxellales; Moraxellaceae.